AGAGUUUGAUCCUGGCUCAGGAUGAACGCUAGCGGCAGGCUUAACACAUGCAAGUCGAGGGGUAUAGUUCUUCGGAACUAGAGACCGGCGCACGGGUGCGUAACGCGUAUGCAAUCUACCUUUUACAGAGGGAUAGCCCAGAGAAAUUUGGAUUAAUACCUCAUAGUAUAUAGCCCUGGCAUCAGGAUUAUAUUAAAGUCACAACGGUAAAAGAUGAGCAUGCGUCCCAUUAGCUAGUUGGUAAGGUAACGGCUUACCAAGGCUACGAUGGGUAGGGGUCCUGAGAGGGAGAUCCCCCACACUGGUACUGAGACACGGACCAGACUCCUACGGGAGGCAGCAGUGAGGAAUAUUGGACAAUGGGCGCAAGCCUGAUCCAGCCAUGCCGCGUGCAGGAUGACGGUCCUAUGGAUUGUAAACUGCUUUUAUACGAGAAGAAACACUCCUUCGUGAAGGAGCUUGACGGUAUCGUAAGAAUAAGGAUCGGCUAACUCCGUGCCAGCAGCCGCGGUAAUACGGAGGAUCCAAGCGUUAUCCGGAAUCAUUGGGUUUAAAGGGUCCGUAGGCGGUUUAAUAAGUCAGUGGUGAAAGCCCAUCGCUCAACGGUGGAACGGCCAUUGAUACUGUUAGACUUGAAUUAUUAGGAAGUAACUAGAAUAUGUAGUGUAGCGGUGAAAUGCUUAGAGAUUACAUGGAAUACCAAUUGCGAAGGCAGGUUACUACUAAUUGAUUGACGCUGAUGGACGAAAGCGUGGGUAGCGAACAGGAUUAGAUACCCUGGUAGUCCACGCCGUANACGAUGGAUACUAGCUGUUGGGAGCAAUCUCAGUGGCUAAGCGAGAGUGAUAAGUAUCCCACCUGGGGAGUACGUUCGCAAGAAUGAAACUCAAAGGGAUUUGACGGGGGCCGCACAAGCGGUGGAGCAUGUGGNUUAAUUCGAUGAUACGCAGGAACCUUACCAAGGCUUAAAUGUAGAUUGACCGGUUUGGAAACAGAUCUUUCGCAGACAUUUACAAGUGCUGCAUGGNNGUCGUCAGCUCGG
Molecule: ribosomal RNA, 1042 nt
Filed under: uncultured bacterium
Lineage: Bacteria
Description: bacterial SSU rRNA
Rfam family: Bacterial small subunit ribosomal RNA
Source: RNAcentral